Long non-coding RNA from Lagenorhynchus albirostris (white-beaked dolphin), 661 nucleotides. RefSeq lists it as uncharacterized. The transcript has 4 exons. The record is from RefSeq and is a predicted model, not a curated record. Lineage: Eukaryota; Metazoa; Chordata; Mammalia; Artiodactyla; Delphinidae.
UCAGAAUGUUCCCUGUGUACUUGACCGAAGUUGUUCUGUCCAAAGCCAGCCAGAUACCUGCUAGUGUGAGUAAUGGUCCAGGACAGUUUGGAAAUGGAGAUGACCCGCCUCUGUCAGUCUCAUUUUAGUGAAAAAUAGACCAGCGAUAUCUUGUGGAUUGACACCUGUGUACAGACCACACUUUGAGUAGCCUGUGUUAGAGCUCAGAUGAGAAGUGAUGAGAGCCUGAAACCCAACAGUAGCCCAGCCCCCGGACACUUUUCAUUCAAACGUGUAAAUGCACAGAAGAGAGGAGUUAAUGAUCACUAACCUUUUACCAUCUUGGGAGGAGCGACUUCUGGUGCUAAGUAUCAGGAAACUUCUGAGGGAAUGAUUCCAGGUGCCCUUAGCUCAGGUGAGAAAUCCUAGAAGUGGGCUCCUGCUGGCCUGGAAGAAAGUAAACAUCCAUGCUGUGAAUAGCAUGGGGACCACAUGGCAAGGAAUACCGAUGGCCUCUGGGAGCUGAGUGUGAUCCCCAGAUGACAGCUAGCAAGGAAACGGGGAACGUAUUCCUACGAGGUCAUGAGAAACUGAAUUCUGCCAACAACCCGACUGAGCUUGGAAGGGGACCCCACACCUCAGAUGAGAACUCAGCCUGGCCGGUGCCCUAACUGCAGCCUUG